CAGGACUGUGAUGCUAUCAUCACCCUUGUGGAAACUCUCCAAAACCUGCCAACCUGCAGUGUGGCCGAGCAGCACAACAUCUGUUUCCACUACGCCUUUGCCCUUGACAGGCGGAACCGACCUGGGGACCGCGAGAAAGCGCUCUCUGUUCUCCUGCCCCUGGUGGAGAAGCCCGAAGGAGUGGCCCCUGACCUCUAUUGCAUGUGUGGCCGCAUCUACAAAGACAUGUUCAUUGACUCUGAGUUCACGGAUACCGAGAAGAGAGACAAGGCUUUCUUUUGGUACCACAAGGCCUUUCUGACAGAGCCAAGCCUUCAUGCUGGAAUUAAUUCUGUUGUGUUGCUCAUCGCUGCCGGCCAUUGUUUUGAAACCUCGAUGCAGCUUCGGCAGAUCGGUGUGAGAUUGUUCU
Molecule: non-coding RNA, 409 nt
Organism: Notechis scutatus (mainland tiger snake)
Lineage: Eukaryota; Metazoa; Chordata; Lepidosauria; Squamata; Elapidae
Source: RefSeq, a predicted model, not a curated record